UUAAAAUUUUCUUCUGAAUGAAUAAAGACUCGAUGAACAAUAAAGCCAAGUUUUAAGUAUUUUUUUAAGCUGGAAAUCUUUCCAUUUCCAUAAUUUAUAACACCAGAAUAUUAUUUUAAAUUUUGAACUUUCUUCUUCAAACUUUAUUUAAAACACCUCAACUCGAUCAAGUUUUCGUCAUUUUUAUAAUUUGAUUUAUGAGUUUGCUCGAUACCGGGAUAAUUGACAAUUUAUUUUAAUUAUUUGUUUCUAGUAGUGUUCUUUCUUUUGAGUUUCAAGAAUAAUAUUUGAGCCUCAAUCAAAAUGACUGUUGGAAGAAAUAACCAGAUUUUACAACUGCUAAAUGCCAAGAUGCGAAUUAUAUUAUGUGAUAACCGAACAUUUGUUGGAACAUUCAGUGCUUAUGAUAAGCACAUGAACAUCGUGCUGACUGGUUGUGUUGAAUACAAGAAGUAUAAAGCAAAGAGGAGGGCACCAGUUGAAGGGAAAAAAACAAUUGGCACAGCUAUUAUACGUGGUGAAAAUAUUAUGUCUGUUAUAGUAGAAAGUCAACCAGAGCCUCCAUCACGUUCAGGAGAAAGCAGUAGCAGUCGUUACCGGUAAAAAGAUGUCAGACAAGUGAUUGCAGCUGCUUUUGCCCAUUUGGACCAGGAUUUCUUUCGAAAUUUGUAAAUUUUAUUUUCCAUUGUAUCAUAAAACUUUCAUUAAAAUAUGUUUUGAAUAAACAUUAUUCUCAUUAAAA
This is a non-coding RNA of Parasteatoda tepidariorum (common house spider), 742 nucleotides long. NCBI's taxonomy places the organism in Eukaryota, Metazoa, Arthropoda, Arachnida, Araneae, Theridiidae. The record is from RefSeq and is a predicted model, not a curated record.